This 74-nucleotide transfer RNA is filed under the name Candidatus Aenigmatarchaeota archaeon. RNAcentral describes it as "tRNA-Lys". It matches the Rfam family "tRNA". From Rfam's summary of the family: Transfer RNA (tRNA) molecules are approximately 80 nucleotides in length. The record is from RNAcentral. Lineage: Archaea; Nanobdellati; Candidatus Aenigmatarchaeota.
GGGCCUGUAGCUCAGCCUGGUAGAGCAUCGGCCUUUUAAGCCGGGUGUCGCGGGUUCGAAUCCCGUCGGGCCCA